This 253-nucleotide ribosomal RNA is filed under the name uncultured bacterium. Its description in RNAcentral is "partial 16S ribosomal RNA". It matches the Rfam family "Bacterial small subunit ribosomal RNA", at positions 524 to 776 of the family's 1533-position model. The record is from RNAcentral.
UACGUAGGUGGCGAGCGUUGUCCGGAUUCACUGGGCGUAAAGAGCGCGCAGGCGGCUGGUCAAGUCCGAUGUGAAAGCUCCCGGCUUAACUGGGAAAUUGCAUCGGAAACUGAUCGGCUGGAAGGUGGGAGAGGGUAGCGGAAUUCCCGGUGUAGUGGUGAAAUGCGUAGAUAUCGGGAGGAACACCAGUGGCGAAGGCGGCUACCUGGACCAGCAUUGACACUCAAGCACGAAAGCGUGGGGAGCAAACAGG